This 484-nucleotide ribosomal RNA is filed under the name uncultured bacterium. RNAcentral's name for it is "partial 16S ribosomal RNA". It matches the Rfam family "Bacterial small subunit ribosomal RNA", at positions 29 to 507 of the family's 1533-position model. The record is from RNAcentral.
AUUGAACGCUGGCGGCAUGCUUUACACAUGCAAGUCGAACGGCAGCGCGGGCUUCGGCCUGGCGGCGAGUGGCGAACGGGUGAGUAAUACAUCGGAACGUGCCCAGUAGUGGGGGAUAGCUCGGCGAAAGCCGGAUUAAUACCGCAUACGACCUGAGGGUGAAAGCGGGGGAUCUUCGGACCUCGCGCUAUUGGAGCGGCCGAUGGCAGAUUAGCUAGUUGGUGGGGUAAAGGCCUACCAAGGCGACGAUCUGUAGCUGGUCUGAGAGGACGACCAGCCACACUGGGAAUGAGACACGGCCCAGACCCCGACGGGAGGAAGCAGUGGGGAUUUUUGGACAAUGGGCGCAAGCCUGAUCCAGCAAUGCCGCGUGGGUGAAGAAGGCCUGCGGGUUGGAAAGCCCUUGGGGGGGGAAAGAAAAGGAGUGUGCAAAUACCCCGUUGCAAUGGCGAUACCCAAAGAAUAAGCACCGGCUAACUCCGUG